Non-coding RNA from Chrysemys picta bellii (western painted turtle), 234 nucleotides. NCBI's taxonomy places the organism in Eukaryota, Metazoa, Chordata, Testudines, Emydidae. The record is from RefSeq and is a predicted model, not a curated record.
GUUCCUAUAACUUCAUCUCAGGAGUCCUCGGGAUUGUAGGUGGCGUGCUGCUGCUUCUCCUGGUUACCAUCAUUAUCUGGAGGAUUAUGUCUAAGCAGAAUGCAGGCAAUUACUAUACACAUGAAAACAACAAGUACCAGAUGCCUUUGGCCCACAUAACUGAACAAAAAGUUUCAUUUGCACCAUAGCAGGUAUGGGCUUAUUUUAAAUCACUUUCUUCAACGUAAAAAUGUC